AACGGCUCAGUAACACGUAGAUAAUUCGCCCUUAGGUGGAGGAUACCCUCGGGAAACUGAGAAUAAUACUCCAUAGAUUUAGAAUGCUGGAAUGCUUUUAAAUUGAAAGAUUUAUCGCCUAAGGAUAAGUCUGCGGACUAUCAGGUCGUAGUUAGGGUAAAUACCUGACUAGCCUACGACGGAUACGGGUUGUGAGAGCACUAGCCUCCGAGAUGAUAUCUGAGACACGAUAUCAGGCCCUACGGGGCGCAGCAGGCGCGAAAACUUCGCACUGUGCGAAAGCACGACGAGGGAAUCCCAAGUGCUGGCUCGUAAGAGUCAGCUGUUUCUUUGUCUAAAAAACAGAGAGAGUAAGAGCUGGGUAAGACGGGUGCCAGCCGCCGCGGUAAUACCUGCAGCUCAAGUGGUGGCCGCUAUUAUUGGGCCUAAAACGUCCGUAGCCGGUUCUAUAAAUGCCUGGGUAAAUCGUACGGCUUAACCGUACGAAUUCCGGGUAGACUGUUCAACUUGGGACCGGGAGAGGCUAGAGGUACUCCUGGGGUAGAGGUGAAAUUCUGUAAUCCUAGGGGGACCACCAGUGGCGAAGGCGUCUAGCUAGAACGGGUCUGACGGUGAGGGACGAAGCCCUGGGGAGCAACGGGAUUAGAUACCCCGGUAGUCCAGGUGUAACGCUGCUCGCUUGAUGUUAGUCGGGCUCCGAGC
This 702-nucleotide ribosomal RNA is filed under the name uncultured archaeon. RNAcentral describes it as "bacterial SSU rRNA". It matches the Rfam family "Archaeal small subunit ribosomal RNA", at positions 83 to 790 of the family's 1478-position model. The record is from RNAcentral.